CGGUCCGGUACAAACCGGGAGGAAGGUGGGGAUGACGUCAAGUCCUCAUGGCCCUUAUGGGUAGGGCUUCACACGUCAUACAAUGGUCGGUACAGAGGGUUGCAACCCGCGAGGGGGAGCUAAUCCCACAAAGCCGAUCGUAGUCCGGAUCGCAGUCUGCAACUCGACUGCGUGAAGUCGGAAUCGCUAGUAAUCGUGGAUCAGCAUGUCACGGUGAAUACGUUCCCGGGUCUU
This 234-nucleotide ribosomal RNA is filed under the name uncultured Rhodocyclaceae bacterium. RNAcentral describes it as "partial 16S ribosomal RNA". It matches the Rfam family "Bacterial small subunit ribosomal RNA", at positions 1147 to 1382 of the family's 1533-position model. The record is from RNAcentral. Lineage: Bacteria; Pseudomonadati; Pseudomonadota; Betaproteobacteria; Rhodocyclales; Rhodocyclaceae.